CAAAUGAAUUGACGGGGCCGCACAAGCGUGGAGCAUGUGGUUAAUUCGACGCAACGCGAAGAACCUUACCAGGGCUUGACAUCCCCUGACCGCGUAUGAAAGUACGUUUUCACCCUCGGGUGACAGGGAGACAGGUGGUGCAUGGUUGUCGUCAGCUCGUGUCGUGAGAUGUUGGGUUAAGUCCCGCAACGAGCGCAACCCCUACGUUUAGUUGCUAACGCGUGAAGGCGAGCACUCUAGACGAACUGCCGUUGACAAAACGGAGGAAGGUGGGAUGACGUCAAAUCAUCAUGCCCCUUAUGUUCUGGGCUACACACGUGCUACAAUGGCCGGUACAGACGGACGCAAAGCCGCGAGGUGGAGCAAAUCCUAAAAAGCCGGUCUCAGUUCGGAUUGCAGGCUGCAAUUCGCCUGCAUGAAGUCGGAAUCGCUAGUAAUCGCAGGUCAGCAUACUGCGGUGAAUACGUUCCCGGGCCUU
RNAcentral lists this ribosomal RNA (478 nucleotides) under uncultured Pelotomaculum sp. RNAcentral describes it as "bacterial SSU rRNA". It matches the Rfam family "Bacterial small subunit ribosomal RNA", at positions 902 to 1382 of the family's 1533-position model. Lineage: Bacteria; Bacillati; Bacillota; Clostridia; Eubacteriales; Desulfotomaculaceae. The record is from RNAcentral.